UACGGGAGGCAGCAGUGGGGAAUAUUGCACAAUGGGCGAAAGCCUGAUGCAGCUAUGCCGCGUGUAUGAAGAAGGCCUUAGGGUUGUAAAGUACUUUCAUCGGGGAGGAAAAAACAAAACUAAUAAUUUUAUUUCUUGACGUUACCCGAAAAAGAAGCACCGGCUAACUCCGUGCCAGCAGCCGCGGUAAUACGGAGGGUGCUAGCGUUAAUCAGAAUUACUGGGCGUAAAGAGCACGUAGGUGGUUUUUUAAAGUCAGAUGUGAAAUCCCUGGGCUUAACCUAGGAACUGCAUUUUGAAACUGAAAUACUAGAGUAUCGUAGAGGGAGGUAGAAUUCUAGGUGUAGCGGUGAAAUGCGUAGAUAUCUGGAGGAAUACCUGUGGCGAAAGCGGCCUCCUAAACGAAUACUGACACUGAGGGUGCGAAAGCGUGGGGAGCAAACAGGGAUUAGAUACC
Molecule: ribosomal RNA, 457 nt
Filed under: uncultured bacterium
Lineage: Bacteria
Description: bacterial SSU rRNA
Rfam family: Bacterial small subunit ribosomal RNA
Source: RNAcentral